RNAcentral lists this long non-coding RNA (553 nucleotides) under Homo sapiens (human). RNAcentral describes it as "non-protein coding lnc-AP3D1-1:1". The record is from RNAcentral. Lineage: Eukaryota; Metazoa; Chordata; Mammalia; Primates; Hominidae.
UUUCUCUAGAAGUUUCCAAGGGUCACUUGUGUCUCGUCCGUGGGAAGACCGGGGGAGCCCAGAAGGCCUUGGUGUGGAAUUCUGAGAGCUGAUUCCUGCCUUGUCUUCUCCACUGUUCCUGGAGGAAUCCGAGAAGAGCAGAGCGGAGGGAGCCCCAGACACGAAAGAAAUGACCGCCCGGAUGUGCCACUGAGAGCCCCGCGGGUCUCCCGGUGCCCGAACCGCCGCUGGGGCCUCGGAGACUUGGAGGAGGACGCUCUGGAACCAUCAUCCCGCUUCUCUCCGGCCUGAGCAUCUCAGGGAGACCAGGGGCCGAGCCGCUGAGCAGGUGUUGGUCCUCAGGAGCUCCAACCCCGGACGGCAGAUGCCUUCCUCAGUCUCGAGCCUCAGUCUCCCGUCUGGGACUAAAACGUGAACUCUGUAAUUCUAUGUGUUACUAGCAACCGGAAAAGCCCACUGUGUUUUUAAACCACUUCCACUUUCCAGGAGGCUGGAUGGCUUCCAGGGUCACUCCUUGCCCUGGGUGGCUCCCAGGCUCCUGGAACUUCUGCCU